RNAcentral lists this transfer RNA (67 nucleotides) under Marmota monax (woodchuck). RNAcentral's name for it is "tRNA.Ala". It matches the Rfam family "tRNA". From Rfam's summary of the family: Transfer RNA (tRNA) molecules are approximately 80 nucleotides in length. Their secondary structure includes four short double-helical elements and three loops (D, anti-codon, and T loops). Further hydrogen bonds mediate the characteristic L-shaped molecular structure. tRNAs have two regions of fundamental functional importance: the anti-codon, which is responsible for specific mRNA codon recognition, and the 3' end, to which the tRNAs corresponding amino acid is attached (by aminoacyl-tRNA synthetases). tRNAs cope with the degeneracy of the genetic code in two manners: having more than one tRNA (with a specific anti-codon) for a particular amino acid; and 'wobble' base-pairing, i.e. permitting non-standard base-pairing at the 3rd anti-codon position. Lineage: Eukaryota; Metazoa; Chordata; Mammalia; Rodentia; Sciuridae. The record is from RNAcentral.
GGUUGUGGCUCAGUGGUAGAGCAUGUGCCUUGCGCGUGUGAGACACUGAGUUCAAUCCUCAGCACCA